This 427-nucleotide ribosomal RNA is filed under the name uncultured Steroidobacter sp. Its description in RNAcentral is "partial 16S ribosomal RNA". It matches the Rfam family "Bacterial small subunit ribosomal RNA", at positions 355 to 774 of the family's 1533-position model. The record is from RNAcentral. Lineage: Bacteria; Pseudomonadati; Pseudomonadota; Gammaproteobacteria; Steroidobacterales; Steroidobacteraceae.
UGGGGAAUAUUGGACAAUGGGGGAAACCCUGAUCCAGCGACGCCGCGUGGGUGAAGAAGGCCUGCGGGUUGUAAAGCCCUUUCGGUAGGGACGAAAGCUCUCGACCUAACACGUCGGGAGGUUGACUUAACCUACAAAAGAAGCACCGGCUAACUCUGUGCCAGCAGCCGCGGUAAUACAGAGGGUGCGAGCGUUAAUCGGAAUUACUGGGCGUAAAGCGCACGUAGGCGGCUUGGUAUGUCGGGUGUGAAAUCCCCGGGCUCAACCUGGGAACUGCAUCCGAAACUGCCUUGCUCGAGUAUGGGAGAGGGAAGUGGAAUUUCCGGUGUAGCGGUGAAAUGCGUAGAUAUCGGAAGGAACAUCAGUGGCGAAGGCGACUUCCUGGACCAAUACUGACGCUCAGGUGCGAAAGCGUGGGGAGCAAACA